RNAcentral lists this ribosomal RNA (483 nucleotides) under uncultured bacterium. RNAcentral's name for it is "partial 16S ribosomal RNA". It matches the Rfam family "Bacterial small subunit ribosomal RNA", at positions 28 to 507 of the family's 1533-position model. The record is from RNAcentral.
GACGAACGCUGGCGGCGUGCUUAACACAUGCAAGUCGAACGCUGAAGCUCAGCUUUUGUUGGGUGGAUGAGUGGCGAACAGGUGAGUAACACGUGAGUAACCUGCCUCCUUCUUUGGGAUAACGCCCGGAAACGGGUGCUAAUACUGGAUAUUCACUGGUCUUCGCAUGGGGGUUGGUGGGAAGGGUUUUUCUGGUGGGGGAUGGGCUCGCGGCCUAUCAGCUUGUUGGUGGGGUGAUGGCCUACCAAGGCUUUGACGGGUAGCCGGCCUGAGAGGGUGACCGGUCACAUUGGGACUGAGAUACGGCCCAGACUCCUACGGGAGGCAGCAGUGGGGAAUAUUGCACAAUGGGCGCAAGCCUGAUGCAGCGACGCCGCGUGAGGGAUGGAGGCCUUCGGGUUGUGAACCUCUUUCGCUCAUGGUCAAGCCGCAACAAUGGUUGUGGUGAGGGUAGUGGGUAAAGAAGCGCCGGCUAACUACGUG